AGCUUCAUGAAGAGGGGAAACUCUUAGAAAUAGUGGAUCCAGAGAUGGGAGAUUUUCCUGAGGAAGAAGUGGUAAGAUACAUAAAAGUAGCCUUUUUCUGCACCCAGGGAACAGCAAGCCGGAGGCCACUCAUGAGCCAGGUUGUUGACAUGCUUUCAAGGAACAUCCGGCUUAAUGAGAAGCUACUUUCAGCGCCGGGUUUCUUCCAAGAUUCAGUAGGCGUCAGUGGGCCAUCAUUUUCAACUAAAAAGUCAUCUGCUGACUCUUCUGCUAGCAACCAGAUGAGCUCUGUUCCUGUCACAAUCACUGAGGUGACCCCCAGAUGAACAGGUUUAUUUUUUUUAUUUAUUUUUAUUACUAUGGAUACUUAUGUAUUGGUAAGAGCUUUCAACUGGAAAAUGGGAAAAAUUAGUUAGUAGGCACAUUCAUAUACUUCAUUACUCAGUAAAGUGGCAAAUUAUAUUGAAUGCUGAAGGUGAUGAUGUGAGGCAAUUAUUUGUAUGGUUAUUAGGCGU
RNAcentral lists this unclassified non-coding RNA (515 nucleotides) under Hevea brasiliensis (rubber tree). The record is from RNAcentral. Lineage: Eukaryota; Viridiplantae; Streptophyta; Magnoliopsida; Malpighiales; Euphorbiaceae.